GGGAGCAAAGAUCGCGAGGUGGGCGUUCGCUGCACCGUCAUCAGCGGCGGCGACAGGGCGGCGGCGGCGGCGGCGGCGGCGGAGAGCGGCCACUGGAAGCACAAGAGCUAGCUACUAAGCUCGAUGAAGCAGAUCGAGUUGCUGUGGCAAGAGGUUCGAGACCUGAGCCUCGGCAACGCCUCCUCCGUCCGCCGCCUCGACUCGCCCCCGGCGCCGCUCGAGUUCCUCCGCGACUUCGUCUCUCCCAACAAGCCCUGCCUCGUCUCCGGAGCCGCCACCGCUCACUGGCCGGCCACCGCCCUCUGGCGCGACCGCGCGCACCUCGCUCGCGCCCUCGCUUCCUCCUCCGUCACCGUCCACCUCACCCCCGACGGGCGCGCCGAUUCGCUCGUUCCGAUCGACGACUCCUCCGCCUCGCCCUCGCCCUCGCCGCCGCCGCCGCCUCUCUGCUUCGCCUCUGCGCACGCGGAGCGCGUGCCGUUCGCCGAGGCGCUGGACAUGAUCUCGAGGAGCAGCCGGGAGAGCAGUUUCGUCGCGUACGCGCAGCAGCAGAACGAUUGCUUCCGAUCGGAGUACGGUCCCCUGGCGCGCGAUUGCGAUGAGCAUGUCCCGUGGGCGAGCAAAGCCCUGGGUUCGUUGCCGGAGGCCGUGAACCUGUGGAUUGGGAAUCACUUCUCGGAGACUUCUUUCCACAAGGAUCACUACGAGAAUCUCUACGCCGUUGUCACCGGCGAGAAGCAUUUCGUGCUCCUUCCUCCGACGGAUGUUCAUCGUAUGUAUAUUAAAGAUUACCCCGCGGCGCAGUACUCGUACAUUAAGGAAACUGGGGAAUUCAAGCUGGAAGUGGAAGAACCAAUCAAGUAUGUACCUUGGUGCAGUGUCAAUCCUUAUCCUUCCCCAGAGAACUUGGAGAGCGAGAUGGCGAAGUUUCCACUGUAUUUCAAUGGUCCCAAGCCGAUCGAGUGUACGGUCAAAGCCGGGGAGAUCCUUUACUUACCAAGUAUGUGGUUUCAUCACGUUAAACAGAUUCCAGAUGACACAGGACUCACCAUUGCUGUUAAUUAUUGGUAUGAUAUGCAGUUUGAUAUGAAAUAUGCAUAUUUCAACUUCUUGCAAUCAAUCGAAUACCAACCAAUACAUGACUACACGGGGACUGAAGGAGAGUCUGAAGAUUUAUAAUCAAUCUGCAUGCUGUCGUAAAUCAGUGUCUCAAUGAGCUGUAGCCCAUAAAUUCAUCUCUGAACUUCUUAUUGUUUUUCUCUGGUUAUGGAUGGAAUCUUUAUCUGAAGCUUGGCUUGAGAUGGUUAUGAACAAGGAGACAGUUUAAACUCAAUAUCUGGGAAAAGGUCCCUGACUGUCAGCAAGUUUGAGUAAUGCUUGGGGAACAGGAUCUCAGAAUAGCCUUGCUGGUGCAUUUACUCAUUCACCAGAUUGGGUCAAAUGUUUUUCUGUCAGGGCAUCUUGAAACUGCUUAUAAUUGAAUGAUCUCCAUUGAAGUUUUCAAAGAAAUCUGAAGCUACCAAGCUGUUUAUCAGUUUUGUUACAGUCUAUAUCAAGAGGACAUCAUUGCAGAAUGACCUCCAUUGAAUUUCUUGAGGUGUUUGCACAGGAUUACUGGUCCAAAAAGCAACAGAUGGUCCAAGGCGUAUAAUAGAAUGAUUUGUGGUUCCAUAAGUA
Syzygium oleosum is the source of this 1677-nucleotide RNA transcript. It is a transcript of the gene named lysine-specific demethylase JMJ32, with no coding region annotated. The transcript is spliced from 5 exons. The record is from RefSeq and is a predicted model, not a curated record. Lineage: Eukaryota; Viridiplantae; Streptophyta; Magnoliopsida; Myrtales; Myrtaceae.